UUUGUUUUUUAAAAAAAACUAGAGCGAGCCACGGCGCAUGCGUGGGAUAACUGGGGCGCAGGCCGUUCCGGCCGACCUGUGAGGGAAUCGAGGGGCGAGGGGAGGGAGGGGCUCGAGCUGAGGGAGGGAGCGAGCGAGCAAGCCCAUUGGCGGGCUCCUGAGGCGGGGCGGGGGGCGUUUUGGCGGGCGCGGCUUAAAUUCGGAGGCGCGCUCGGAGAGGAGUUUUUCGAGCCUGGUGUAGGCUCUUCUGGAGCCAGACUUAACAGAUGUCUUGCAGGGUGCUUUUUCGUGGACUAGCGCCCACAUUUCGUGUUGUUGUUUUUGAUUCCCCCCCCCCCCGCAAUUAAAGAGGUGGCUCAAAAUAAAUAAAGCAUUUAAGGUGCUAUAUGUAAGAUGAGGCCUCCAUGGUUUCCUGACACGAGAUUUUUCCUGAAGUAAAAUAAGGAAAAAUAAAAACCGCGAAAUCCCCUUUGUUACAAGGAGGCCUGUCCCCACUUAGCUGUUCGCCCUGAAGCUGCUACAAGACAUACUCUUCGUCCUGAAGUGAAAACAGAAAUGGAAGUUCUUUUUUCCUCACAAGGAGGCUUAUCCUCAGGGAACCAUGCUAGGCUUGUGAGGAUCCAGCCCGCCUCUUAAAACGAAAUGUCCAUGCUGUUCACCUGCUCCAAAUCCAUCGUCACCACCAAGAAGGACAAGAGACACAUGGCGGAAGUCUGGUUUUCCCCUGGUGUGAUUUGUCUUCCAUCAUCAGUCAUUACCAGUCAUCAUAGAGUAUGUUGCUUUCUUUCUUUGAAUGAAGGCUUCAUGAUUUGAACUAUAUGCAUGUGCAACAUCUCCCUGAGUACACCGUUUCCUCCUUUUGGAUCUGAGAACUCAUUACUUGCAUUGUAUGUUCUCUUUACAGUCUCAUUUUGAAGACAUCUCAGACUUUGUUCAAAUAUCUGCAUAUAUUGGUUUUUUUACUUUUCAAUUGCAUGUUGUAAUUAUAUUUGGUAUUAUGUUAUUGUAUGUCUAUAUGUGUUAUACAGAUGUGUUUGAUGGUU
Long non-coding RNA from Hemicordylus capensis (graceful crag lizard), 1043 nucleotides. RefSeq lists it as uncharacterized. The record is from RefSeq and is a predicted model, not a curated record. NCBI's taxonomy places the organism in Eukaryota, Metazoa, Chordata, Lepidosauria, Squamata, Cordylidae. The transcript has 2 exons.